RNAcentral lists this long non-coding RNA (413 nucleotides) under Medicago truncatula (barrel medic). Its description in RNAcentral is "long non-coding RNA (MTRU_LNC000132)". The record is from RNAcentral. Lineage: Eukaryota; Viridiplantae; Streptophyta; Magnoliopsida; Fabales; Fabaceae.
AACCACAGAGUCACCAAUCGAUAGCCGCAAUCAACAAACCCUAAUUUCCUUUCUCUUUCCCAAGUUCAGAAUCAAAACCACAAAAAUCAUGAACAAUCUCAAUAAUAUUAUGAACAUUCAUACAUGUUCUUCAUAGAAUUUUCACACUUUUCACAAAACUUUCCAGCAACCCCAAGCACGAAUUCGGUUUUCAUAGUCACGACAACUCAAUCGGGUCCGAACAAGACGCGAAGACAACAAAGCAGAAAGCUCAAACAGAGUCAGAUUCGUAUCAAGCGAAGGUGAAGGAGAGUAGAUCAAAGCUUUUCCUUCGUUCCAUAAGUUUUAUCUCCAGAUCGUAACAGAUCCAAAGAGGUAACAAUUUCAUUAUCCUUCUUUCCUUUCUCACGUUUAAAAGCUGCAUGUGGUGUGAU